UACGUAGGGCGCAAGCGUUGUCCGGAAUUAUUGGGCGUAAAGAGCUCGUAGGCGGUUUGUUGCGUCGGCUGUGAAAUCCCGAGGCUCAACCUCGGGUCUGCAGUCGAUACGAGCAAACUAGAGUGUUGCAGGGGAGACUGGAAUUCCUGGUGUAGCGGUGAAAUGCGUAGAUAUCGAGAGGAACACCUGCGGCGAAGGCGGGUUGCUGGGCCGACACUGACGCUGAUGCGCGAAAGCCAGGGGAGCGAACGGG
This 253-nucleotide ribosomal RNA is filed under the name uncultured bacterium. RNAcentral describes it as "partial 16S ribosomal RNA". It matches the Rfam family "Bacterial small subunit ribosomal RNA", at positions 524 to 776 of the family's 1533-position model. The record is from RNAcentral.